This 484-nucleotide ribosomal RNA is filed under the name uncultured bacterium. RNAcentral's name for it is "partial 16S ribosomal RNA". It matches the Rfam family "Bacterial small subunit ribosomal RNA", at positions 30 to 507 of the family's 1533-position model. The record is from RNAcentral.
AUUGAACGCUGGCGGCAGGCCUAACACAUGCAAGUCGAGCGGAUGAAGGGAGCUUGCUCCUGGAUUCAGCGGCGGACGGGUGAGUAAUGCCUAGGAAUCUGCCUGGUAGUGGGGGAUAACGUCGGGAAACGGGCGCUAAUACCGCAUACGUCCUGAGGGUGAAAGUGGGGGAUCUUCGGACCUCACGCUAUCAGAUGAGCCUAGGUCGGAUUAGCUAGUUGGUGGGGUAAAGGCCUACCAAGGCGACGAUCCGUAACUGGUCUGAGAGGAUGAUCAGUCACACUGGAACUGAGACACGGUCCAGACUCCUACGGGAGGCAGCAGUGGGGAAUAUUGGACAAUGGGCGAAAGCCUGAUCCAGCCAUGCCGCGUGUGUGAAGAAGGUCUUCGGAUUGUAAAGCACUUUAAGUUGGGAGGAAGGGCAGUAAGUUAAUACCUUGCUGUUUUGACGUUACCAACAGAAUAAGCACCGGCUAACUUCGUG